This 653-nucleotide ribosomal RNA is filed under the name uncultured bacterium. RNAcentral's name for it is "bacterial SSU rRNA". It matches the Rfam family "Bacterial small subunit ribosomal RNA", at positions 202 to 842 of the family's 1533-position model. The record is from RNAcentral.
AAAAGGUGGCUAUGCUACCGCUUUUGGAUGGGCCCGCGGCGCAUUAGCUAGUUGGUGGGGUAAAGGCUUACCAAGGCAAUGAUGCGUAGCCGAACUGAGAGGUUGAUCGGCCACAUUGGGACUGAGACACGGCCCAAACUCCUACGGGAGGCAGCAGUAGGGAAUCUUCCACAAUGGGCGAAAGCCUGAUGGAGCAACGCCGCGUGGGUGAAGAAGGUCUUCGGAUCGUAAAACCCUGUUGUUAGAGAAGAAAGUGCGUGAGAGUAACUGUUCACGUUUCGACGGUAUCUAACCAGAAAGCCACGGCUAACUACGUGCCAGCAGCCGCGGUAAUACGUAGGUGGCCAGCGUUAUCCGGAUUUAUUGGGCGUAAAGGGAACGCAGGCGGUCUUUUAAGUCUGAUGUGAAAGCCUUCGGCUUAACCGGAGUAGUGCAUUGGAAACUGGGAGACUUGAGUGCAGAAGAGGAGAGUGGAACUCCAUGUGUAGCGGUGAAAUGCGUAGAUAUAUGGAAGAACACCAGUGGCGAAAGCGGCUCUCUGGUCUGUAACUGACGCUGAGGUUCGAAAGCGUGGGUAGCAAACAGGAUUAGAUACCCUGGUAGUCCACGCCGUAAACGAUGAAUGCUAAGUGUUGGAGGGUUUCCGCCCUUCA